CAGGCUAGAUAGAGUUAUCAUAGACCUCCAGUCCUCGAUCAACUCCCUCACUAGGCAGCUCUCUAACCACAACACCAUUAUACUAGGCCUUAGGCAAGAUCUUGCCAGUGCCAACAAGAAGAUCAAGGAAUUAGAGCGCCGCUAAGUUAUCUAGAUUAGACCUUGAGGCAAUGCAUCUUAGUCAUUUAUCUUUAAAUUCGGUUUAGGUUUACUAUUAUCAGUUUGCUAUCAGUCUUUUGUAAUAAAUGCCUCAAGAUCAAUAAAGAGUAUUAUUAUUAUGUCUUGUGUGUCUCUACUUUAUUUUUGUGCAAGAAAGCAGAAAACAAGUAUGGGGGAGAUCCCUCGACAUGCCAAACACACUCCGACUACACCACUCCACGAUUCAGGUACACACUCUGCACACUUUAUUUUACACAUAUAUAUAUUUUGGAUUAUGCAGAUUAUUGUUUCUGACAUGAUAAAAUAAAAAGAUUAAAAUAUUUCUAAUCAUGAUUAAUCUCAAUCUGUGAUAUUUCCUGAAAACUUGCAAUUAUUAUAAAAUCAUUUUAAAACCCUGUGUUACUUAAGUCAAUAUGGAAUAUGUGAUGAUAGAGUAUGAGUUUCUUAUUCUUGAUAUCAUUGUUGCUUGGAGAAUUUAUUUCAAAAUAUUCAAAAUUCUAGCUACCAUCCUCAGUGUUUUAUAUGCCUGAUAAAACUGAAAAUAUUGAUUAUGAUUAUAAAAGCUAUCUACUCUGUAUUGAGUUUGUUCAAAAUGAGUUAGACCCUUGUUGAGAGAUUUAUCAUGCUCCUAAGAUCAAGCCAUUAUUUCAGAAAGAUUCACUCUUCCGAAGUAUUAUUGCAUUAGAGGCAUGGGCUAUGCAAAAAUAAAAAUAUUUCGAGGAAAUAAAAAGGAGCAAGUGCUCGACAACCUCGCAGAAAAAAUGGACAAGUGUCCGGCAGUAGAAUUAGGGGUACCUCGGUAUCCACUUAAAAAAAGAGAGAAAAGAGAAAAAAAUAAUAUCCCAUGGUCCCUCUAAUAAGCAAUAUACCAGCAAGAGUUGACAAAGAUUUUAAUUUCCAAAGUCUUUGAUCUAAGAGUAUGACAUUUCCCUCCUCGGAUCCCGUUUUGAUCAGACAAUAAAUGCAAAGUAAGUAUGCUUGAAAAUUUUUGCAAAAAUAAAACAGCCUCAGUGAGAUAUAUAUAAAAGAUAAUGAGUGAUCUGAGAGAACCUAUGAGGAUAAAAAGGUAUGCUAACUUUCUUUCAAAACAUACAAAAACUCCAAGUGACAGGAUUGAGAAGAAAGGAUCUUUACUCUUGACCAUAAACAUCCCUGACUAUGGUACACAGUGGAAUUUUAACACCCUGCAAUUAUAAAGAGAAUGUUUUAAAUGUUUUACCCCAGAUAUUGUUCUUAACCAUCCUUUUCUCGAGGACGAGUAAAAGCCUAAGUAUGGGGGUAUUUGUUGACGGUUCUUAAGUAUCAAUUUUAAUUAUCAAAUAAACAAGAGAAAGGACCAAUAUGCAACCAACACCUAGAAUUAGGGUUUGAUCUGACAGAAUUCCACGAGUUUUGUUGUUUAUCUGUUUCUGCAGGGGGUUAUCAGGAAAUAAGGAAGAAAGGCCCACAUGUCAGGAUUACAUAGAGAUAUCAACGCACCGCGCGAUUUUCCACCAUCUAGAAGAC
This 1665-nucleotide long non-coding RNA is filed under the name Sorghum bicolor (sorghum). RNAcentral's name for it is "long non-coding RNA (SBIC_LNC016330)". Lineage: Eukaryota; Viridiplantae; Streptophyta; Magnoliopsida; Poales; Poaceae. The record is from RNAcentral.